UAGCUUUGCUUUCUUCCUCUGCAGUGCAUUUUCUUUUCAUGCUUUUGGAACUCCAAUAUAUAAUCUUCCUAGUCCUCUUUUGUACCUGGUGUUUUACCUCUUAAAGGUCUUYACAGCAAGGUUGAUAUCUCUAGUAUCCUGGCUGGAAUCCAGUGCUGACAGAAGCACGUCAGAUGACCUAAGAAGGACAUGUGGAUCUCCGAGAAGUUGCUCUCAGUCUCAAAGAUUUUUUGAGUUAUCCUCGGAAAACCACAUAAUCUUUCCUGACUCCACCUAUCUGUUGUAA
This 286-nucleotide long non-coding RNA is filed under the name Dromaius novaehollandiae (emu). Its description in RNAcentral is "lncRNA (ENSDNVG00000002203.1)". The record is from RNAcentral. Lineage: Eukaryota; Metazoa; Chordata; Aves; Casuariiformes; Dromaiidae.